GAUGAACGCUGGCGGCGUGCCUAAUACAUGCAAGUCGAGCGAACAGACGAUGAGCUUGCGCCUCUGACGUUAGCGGAGGACGGGUGAGUAACACGUGUAUAACCCACCUAUAAGACGGGGAUAACUUCGGGAAACGGGAGCUAAUACCGGAUAAUAUAUUGAACCGCAGGGUGCAAUAGUAAAAGACGGUGUUGCUGUCACUUAUAGAGGGAUCCGCGCCGCAUUAGCUAGUUGGUAGGGUAACGGCUUACCAAGGGGACGAGGCGUAGACGAACGGAUAGGGUGGUAGGCCACACUGGAGCUGAGACACGGUCAAGACUCCUAAGAGAGGCAGCAGAAGGGAAUCUUACGCAGUAGGGGAAAGCCUGACAGAGUAAGAGCGAGUGAGUGAUGAAGGUCUUGGGAUCGUAAAACUCUGUUAUUAGGGGAGAACAAAUGUCUAAGUAGAUAUGCAGGUAGUGACGGUAACUAAUAAGAAAGCAACGGCUAACUACGUG
Molecule: ribosomal RNA, 497 nt
Filed under: uncultured bacterium
Lineage: Bacteria
Description: partial 16S ribosomal RNA
Rfam family: Bacterial small subunit ribosomal RNA
Source: RNAcentral